Molecule: ribosomal RNA, 598 nt
Filed under: Nesterenkonia sp.
Lineage: Bacteria; Bacillati; Actinomycetota; Actinomycetes; Micrococcales; Micrococcaceae
Description: bacterial SSU rRNA
Rfam family: Bacterial small subunit ribosomal RNA
Source: RNAcentral
CUAAUGCAAGUCGAACGAUGAAGCUUCCUGCUUGCAGGAAGUGGAUUAGUGGCGAACGGGUGAGUAUCACGUGAGCAACCUGCCCUUGACUCUGGGAUAAGCCUGGGAAACUGGGUCUAAUACCGGAUAUAACCUCUUACCGCAUGGUGAGUGGUGGAAAGCUUUUGCGGUCUUGGAUGGGCUCGCGGCCUAUCAGCUUGACGGUGAGGUAGUGGCUCACCGUGGCGAUGACGGGUAGCCGGCCUGAGAGGGUGACCGGCCACACUGGGACUGAGACACGGCCCAUACUCCUACGGGAGGCAGCAGUGGGGAAUAUUGCACAAUGGGCGAAAGCCUGAUGCAGCGACGCCGCGUGCGGGAUGACGGCCUUCGGGUUGUAAACCGCUUUCAGCAGGGAAGAAGCGCAGGUGACGGUACCUGCAGAAGAGGCUCCCGCUAACUACGUGCCAGCAGCCUUGGUAAUACGUAGGGCGCGAGGGUUAUCCGGAAUUAUGGGGCCUGAAGACGCUCUACGUCGCUUGCGGGGUCUGCGGUGAAGGUUCCGGGCUUACUCCGGGGUUUGCAGUGGGUCCUUGCACGCUACACCUCAGGAGGGGAG